AUGGCGGGCGCGGCCUCGUUCAGCUUGAACGUCCAAGUUGGCGAGCUGCCCGAGCUCGCCAACUUGGACGACGCGACGGAGGGCCGACGGCUGGUCGAGCACCUGGUGUGCGCCAUCGGCCUCGCCACCGCCUGCAUGUCGGUCGCCCUGGCCAUCUACAAGGCCCCGGCCGGCGUCUUCGACGGCCACGCAGGCGCCUACUACGCGUCCGUCGUCUCCGCCGGCGUCGUCGGCCUGGCCGAGGCCUGCACGGCGGUCGUCUGGCUGUCGGCCGGCGCGGAUGGCCCGCGGCAGGGGCAGCAGCAGCGCAUCCUGCGCCGGUGCGUUCUCUGCGCUUCGCUCUUGCCUCUGGCGGUCAUGUCGGGGCUCGGUGGAGUCCGCAUGCUAGUCAAGUAG
RNAcentral lists this ribosomal RNA (396 nucleotides) under Triticum aestivum (bread wheat). Its description in RNAcentral is "partial small subunit ribosomal RNA". Lineage: Eukaryota; Viridiplantae; Streptophyta; Magnoliopsida; Poales; Poaceae. The record is from RNAcentral.